GAAAUGCGAUAAGUAAUGUGAAUUGCAGAAUUCAGUGAAUCAUCGAAUCUUUGAACGCACAUUGCGCCCCCUGGUAUUCCGGGGGGCAUGCCUGUCCGAGCGUCAUUACAACCCUCAAGCCUAGCUUGGUGUUGGGCCCCGCCGCCUGGCGGGCCCUAAAGUCAGUGGCGGUGCCGCCCGGCCCCGAGCGCAGUAACUCUUCUCGCUCUGGAGGCCUGGGCGCGUGCCUGCCAACAGCCCCCCAUUUUUUCAGGUUGACCUCGGAUCAGGUAGGGAUACCCGCUGAACUUAA
RNAcentral lists this unclassified non-coding RNA (292 nucleotides) under uncultured Ascomycota. Its description in RNAcentral is "sequence contains ITS1". The stretch from base 1 to 105 matches the Rfam family "5.8S ribosomal RNA", at positions 50 to 154 of the family's 154-position model. Lineage: Eukaryota; Fungi; Ascomycota. The record is from RNAcentral.